AGAAUCAACGCUGGCGGCGUGCCUAACACAUGCAAGUCGCACGAGAAAGUGGAGCAAUCCACGAGUAAAGUGGCGCACGGGUGAGUAACACGUGAAUAAUCUACCUCCGAGUGGGGAAUAACUGAGAGAAAUCUUAGCUAAUACCGCAUAACACUUACGAGUCAAAGCAGCAAUGCGCUUGGAGAGGAGUUCGCGGCCGAUUAGUUAGUUGGCGGGUAAUGGCCCACCAAGACGAUGAUCGGUA
This 244-nucleotide ribosomal RNA is filed under the name uncultured bacterium. Its description in RNAcentral is "partial small subunit ribosomal RNA". It matches the Rfam family "Bacterial small subunit ribosomal RNA", at positions 26 to 285 of the family's 1533-position model. The record is from RNAcentral.